Molecule: long non-coding RNA, 1184 nt
Filed under: Brassica napus (rape)
Lineage: Eukaryota; Viridiplantae; Streptophyta; Magnoliopsida; Brassicales; Brassicaceae
Description: long non-coding RNA (BNAP_LNC013552)
Source: RNAcentral
AAAGAGAGAAAUUACAGUGAAGAACUAUAUGUGAUUAUUAAAUAUAAGAUGAUUGUUUUACAAAGAAUGAACACAUAGAUAAAUCAGUGAAAAUAACAUUAAUAGCUGGUAAACGCAAGGAAUAUUUUUUACAAAAAGUGAAAAGAAGCUUAUAGAAGAGAUGAAUGAUAUGUUUAAUGGAAAUGCUCUCUCAUCAAAAAGUCCUCUGCCUGCUUUCAUCAAUCCUCCAUUGUUGAAGCUUCGUUCUCCGAUUCCGUUUGCUCUCUCAGGACCGGAAUCGGGUUUAGUUGUUUUGAAUCAUCUCUUUUUGGGUUUCAAUCGGUUUAGAUCUUCAUAUUAUGUUCUCAUUUUUCUCUACGGUCGGAUUUCCAGAUUUUAGAUCUGAUCCUAACAGGAGGAAUGAGAGUUUCUAUAUGUUGAUCUUUGUGUGUGUUAUCGAUCGAUCUAGUCAAAAUGGGUUGGUCUCGUCUUGAACCUGAUUUUGUUUUGAAUGAUUUGCAUGUUGGCUUUAAACUCUCUUUGGCUCAUUUUGGGUCUUGAUCUUCAGCCUUCUUGAUAUCUUGAGCAAGGUUUGAACCAGUUUAUGAGUUGUCUCGCUCCUUGUCAUUUACUAAAAGAUUUGAUCGAGUUCUUCUAUCCCGUCAAGCUUCAAUAUGGCGUCUCUCGGGUCUAUCGCCACCGCCAUCGUACUUAUGACCUUGAGUUGUUCUGUCUCCUGGAUCUUGAAGCUUUGGUCUCUAAAUCGCAUAGGCUAUUCUCUAUAGGAGGAGUCGCAAGUCAGAGAUUUUAGCUAUGGAUAGCAUCCUCGCGUUGUCUGGUUCAAAAGUGCUCAGUUGAAGUCUUCAUGCUUUAUUAUUCUCUGGUUUGUAAAAGUUCUUUUGUUUUGUUCCUCACUUCUUCUAGUUUAGAUCGGUUUAGUAAUAAGGUUUGAUUAAUGUUCUUGGUUUUAGUCUUCCAGUGUUUAGGACUAAAUCUCUCCAAUCUUGGAGCUUUCGUCUCCAGAGGUUUGUAAGACAUGCCGGCUUAUGUAUUCCAAAAUGAAUUCUCCCCCUUGUAAUCUUCUUUGUUAGUAUAAUUAGUGUUUAAGAAAAAAAGAAGAGAUGAAUUGAUUGUUUUACAAAGAAGGAACACAGAUAAAUCAGUGAAUAACACGUGAAAAUAACAAUAACUAGCCUUUGGGACGC